RNAcentral lists this ribosomal RNA (253 nucleotides) under uncultured bacterium. Its description in RNAcentral is "partial 16S ribosomal RNA". It matches the Rfam family "Bacterial small subunit ribosomal RNA", at positions 524 to 776 of the family's 1533-position model. The record is from RNAcentral.
UACGUAGGGCGCGAGCGUUGUCCGGAAUCAUUGGGCGUAAAGAGCUCGUAGGCGGCCUGUCGCGUCUGCUGUGAAAUCCCGGGGCUUAACCCCGGGCGUGCAGUGGAUACGGGCUGGCUGGAGGCAGGCAGGGGAGAACGGAAUUCCCGGUGUAGCGGUGAAAUGCGCAGAUAUCAGGAGGAACACCGGUGGCGAAGGCGGGUCUCUGGGCCGAUACUGACGCUGAGGAGCGAAAGCGUGGGGAGCGAACAGG